CCUCAGGUACAGCAGGAUUUUGAACUGUCUGCUCAUUUGCCUGCACAUCAGUGGAGGAGGUGGCCAAAAGCUUGCUGGCCCCAGGGCUGCUGAGCUAAUGUCCUGAUUCAGCUAUUGACAACUGACUCUUCUUCUGUCUGCGCUGGACAUGAACCCAUGUGGUAGCAAUGAUGGGAGAUUACUGAAGGGAGGAAGAAAAAAAAAAAGAGAGAGACCAGUGUAAGCCAUGCCAAGAAGUCCAGAGUGAACACAGCCUCAGCCUAGUAACGUACAGCUGUCAAGUCACAUUACGCUGUUCCCCACGCCCCUCUUUGGGAAAGACUCUGCCCUGGGAAAGCCUCGUGCACCGUUCGCCCAGGAGUGCAAACCAUGCUGCCAUUGAGAGACAGGACUCGGCCGGCAACCUGCAGCUCCCCGGGACAGAGGGAGCGUCGGCGUGGCGUCGCUGCCUUCUCCUGCCCAACGGGGUCAAUGGGAAGCUGCUCCCGGUUCUUGUCUCAGCCACAUGGAUUUAACGAAUAAUGCUUUGUGCAAGCAACGCAUGGCGCGUUUCCAAUGCAGCCAGGCCAGCACGCGGAGGGCAUCUGCGGCUACGUGGCAGGGGAUCAGAGCUCUUCUCCAGCAGAUCCCGAGAGAGACCGGCCAACCUGUAACUCUCCACUUAGCAACAAGGUACUGGCAAUCUGUCCAGAGGAUUGCAUCCCAUCAAAUCCAUGCAAAUCCUCCAGUGCAAGAUGCACUUUGCUCUGCAGAGCUCUGCCAUAUGGCUGAAGAAUAAGCCAUAAAGGGACAUUGGUCUUUGAACUGAGGGCCAGGUCUUGGAGGUACUCAGAUCUGGUGGCUGGUCCCCAGAUUUUCUGACUGAUCUUGCCAAAUCAUGGGAGUAAAGAAAUGUGGAUUUUUAUCUCAGUUUCCCUAUGGAUUUUCUGUCUGACCACGGGGUGGUUGCUUAGAGCCUGACUUUGAAAAGACACAUGUAGUUUGCACAGAAAGUGGCAAUUACCUGAAGCACCGGUAACUACGCUGGUGGUACACCCACAGACGCGGCAGGGCCUUAGGGACCGCUGCACUCUGGUCUGGACAGGAGAGCAGAGAAGCAGUCCUAAAAUCACUUUUAGUGAACUGCAGUUUUGGUGGAGUGUAAAAGAUGCGAGGUUUUACUCCCAGGCGCUGGCAUCUCAGAGCCCUGCCUUUGCGUUUUGCUGGAUGAGGGAUUUGAGCGUGUGGGGGAAAAGCCCACGGCCAUCUCCGAAGCCCGCGAGCUGUGACUGGGCCAGAGCUUCCUCCGGUCUCUCACUGUGCAGAGAGGUGCCACUGAGCUGUAAUGAACCGUAUUGCACAGCACCUCCCUUUUCAGGAUUUUAAAGGGCUCAGCAUCCUGCAAAACAAAAAUUCCCACGUUGAGCAUGAAGCAAGCAGAGCAGCUCAGCGCGUGCGGCUCAGCUGGCGAGGGACAGCAGAGGCUGCCGGAGCAGACCAGCGUGUUAGAGAAUGACAAAUUGGGGAAACCUUUGCGGGCUGAAACUUCUCAAGAGCUGAAAACUGGAGAGAAACCAGGGGGCACGCUGAGAAAAUGCUGAGGGACUAUUUCCCUUUUAUUCUGAAGGCAUGUGUUUUCAGCCCUUUGUUUCCAACACGUUUUCCUUACCUCGGUUACAGGGGCCUGGUUUUUUAUAGGAAUGUCAGAUUCUAAGCCCAGUUAAUAACAAGCAUUUUCUUUCCAACAACACAGCUGUUUUUUUUUUUUUUUUUCCUUCCAUCUGUGUUACGUUAUUAGG
This is a long non-coding RNA of Struthio camelus australis, 1778 nucleotides long. The record is from Ensembl. Lineage: Eukaryota; Metazoa; Chordata; Aves; Struthioniformes; Struthionidae.